GCCUAUACAUUUUAAAUAAUUCCCCUUUUACUACAUAACAUUAUGAGUUUACGAGUAUUCAUCAGCGCCUUUUGCUAACAUUUUUGAGAACCGAGCGGAUCUCAGCGGUUUGUUAAAGUAAGCGGUUUUUGAAUUACCGUAACUCACAAUGCAAUUACAAUGCAAAAUAAGAAAAAGAAAUUUAUAUAGUAGAUAGUCAAUUGAGAAAAUAAGUAAACAAAAAAAGGAGUGUAAUAAUAAAUACAAAAAUUGCUCAAUGAGGGAAAUGUUGGUUCAUUAAUUUUCCACCACAGAAUGAGCCUGUAGCCUGUGUAAUUGUCCUCUCUUUCAAGUACCAACGCAUUUCAAUAAGGGCAUCAGUACCAGCUGUGCGAUGCUGCUGUGAUGCUAAGAUUUGAGAGUCAAACUCUGUCCAUAUCAACCUUCUACUAGAAAUGAGGAUGAAGAAGCUUCUGGCGCACAGACCUGGAGAAACGCUGCGCUCGCAUGAACUCAGUGGCCAGUAAUUUACUGGACGUAUAGAUGAAAAACUGUAACAAAAGUGUUGAUCUCCGCGCUCUAGUAUCGAUCAGAUACCGAUGCUGGCCUUUGUAGCGAUACUAUCGAUAUUUCGAUCGAUACACCCAGCCCUACCGGAAAUCAGUUUCUGGCUCAAACCAACUUCUGGAAUGGCACCGGUUGAUGGCGAGCAGAGCCACUUGGGACACUUCUUUCGAAGCAAGCGGUGACGUCACACCGUCUCAACGGCGGAAUCUUUAGGUCUGUCAGAUACCGGAAGUACGGUGACAAUAUGCCGUCUAUCUGCUGUACGGUCGGCUGCGAUAGAGCUAAGGCUAAAAAUUCGCAUCUUUUGUCUUCCGACUGACAACGCUAUUUAAAGAAAAUUGGUAUUUUGGGUUUUGAUCCCUACUUAAUUGUCCUUGAAAUGCUAAUUCCCCUUCAAUCUGCCUUAAAUUUGCCAAAUUUGUCCUUUGCUGAUGUAUACAUUUAUGUAAUUCAUAAUCCAUCCCCCUACACCGGCGAGUCCCUGAUGGCUUACAAGAACACUGAAGCCUACCGGUACUUCACCUCAGGUUGGGCCACCGAGGCAAAACUUUAUCACCUGGAGGACCAAAAAACAUUUUCGAUCAUGGGAAAGACUUAGCUCUAUCGCAGCCGACCACACAACAGAUAGACGGCAUAUUGACAGCGUACUUCCGGUAUCUGACGGUCCUAAAGAUGGCGCCGUUGAGACGGUGUGACGUCACAGUGAAACCCAUGAAUAGAAGCUGUUCGUAAAACAUUCAAAGAAGCCAGAGAUGACAUCAUCAGCACAGCCAUGACCUUACAUUUUAAACUGGCCCCAGCUCGCAGUGGAGGAGGGGGCUAUAGGAGGCCCAGGACACCGAUGGUGUCAUUUUUGUUUAGAGUUUCAAGAGUUUUUUUUUCUUUCUUUUUUGUUUUAAGUGAUCUUUUUAACAUAAAUAACAAUUUUAUUUUAUUUUUGCUAUUUUUGUCACCACAUUUGA
Long non-coding RNA from Mugil cephalus (flathead mullet), 1508 nucleotides. RefSeq lists it as uncharacterized. The transcript is spliced from 3 exons. Lineage: Eukaryota; Metazoa; Chordata; Actinopteri; Mugiliformes; Mugilidae. The record is from RefSeq and is a predicted model, not a curated record.